AGGAUAAACAGAAGUUGAAGACAUCUACAAGUUGGCAAAGGAAGUGAUCUGUUCAAGGAGUAAGCGUUUCUGUGAUGGAUUCUUCAGGCUUGCAUAGGCUGGGAAACACCCAACUUAAAGAGCUCUAUACCAACUUGGUAAAGUAACUUAAGUGUCA
Non-coding RNA from Ictidomys tridecemlineatus (thirteen-lined ground squirrel), 157 nucleotides. The record is from RefSeq and is a predicted model, not a curated record. Lineage: Eukaryota; Metazoa; Chordata; Mammalia; Rodentia; Sciuridae.